GACGAACGCUGGCGGCGUGCUUAACACAUGCAAGUCGAACGAUGACGCCCGAGCUUGCUCGGUCUGAUUAGUGGCGAACGGGUGAGUAACACGUGAGCAACCUGCCCUUCACUCUGGGAUAACCUCGGGAAAUCGGGGCUAAUACCGGAUAUGAGCUCCUGUCGCAUGGCGGGGGUUGGAAAGUUUUUCGGUGAGGGAUGGGCUCGCGGCCUAUCAGUUUGUUGGUGGGGUAGUGGCUCACCAAGGCGAUGACGGGUAGCCGGCCUGAGAGGGCGACCGGCCACACUGGGACUGAGACACGGCCCAGACUCCUACGGGAGGCAGCAGUGGGGAAUAUUGCACAAUGGGCGAAAGCCUGAUGCAGCGACGCCGCGUGAGGGAUGACGGCCUUCGGGUUGUAAACCUCUUUCAGCAGGGAAGAAGCGAGAGUGACGGUACUGGCAGAAGAAGCGCCGGCUAACUACGUG
This 467-nucleotide ribosomal RNA is filed under the name uncultured bacterium. RNAcentral describes it as "partial 16S ribosomal RNA". It matches the Rfam family "Bacterial small subunit ribosomal RNA", at positions 28 to 507 of the family's 1533-position model. The record is from RNAcentral.